Molecule: ribosomal RNA, 467 nt
Filed under: uncultured bacterium
Lineage: Bacteria
Description: bacterial SSU rRNA
Rfam family: Bacterial small subunit ribosomal RNA
Source: RNAcentral
GAUAAACGCUGGCGGCGUGCCUAAUACAUGCAAGUCGAACGCUGGAGACCGACUUCGGUUGGUCGAAGGAGUGGCGAACGGGUGAGUAAUACAUAAGCAACCUGCCCACGAAGACCGGGAUAAUCCCUGGAAACGGGGACUAAUACCGGAUAGGCAUUUGAGAGGCAUCUCUAAAAUGUUAAAGAUUAAAAGCACUGGUGGAUGGGCUUAUGGCGCAUUAGCUUGUUGGUGAGGUAACGGCCACCAAGGCGAUGAUGCGUAGCCGGCCUGAGAGGGUGAACGGCCACAUUGGGACUGAGACACGGCCCAGACUCCUACGGGAGGCAGCAGUAGGGAAUAUUGCACAAUGGGGGAAACCCUGAUGCAGCAACGCCGCGUGAAGGAUGAAGGUUUUCGGAUCGUAAACUUCUAUCAACAGGGAAGAAAAAAUGACGGUACCUGAAUAAGAAGCCCCGGCUAACUACGUG